Molecule: ribosomal RNA, 253 nt
Filed under: uncultured bacterium
Lineage: Bacteria
Description: partial 16S ribosomal RNA
Rfam family: Bacterial small subunit ribosomal RNA
Source: RNAcentral
UACGUAGGCAGCAAGCGUUGUUCGGAAUUACUGGGCGUAAAGAGUGUGUAGGCGGUGCUCCAAGUCUGGUGUGAAAUCUCCCGGCUUAACUGGGAGGGUGCAUUAGAAACUGGAAUGCUAGAGGAUGGGAGAGGUAAGCGGAAUUCCUGGUGUAGCGGUGAAAUGCGCAGAUAUCAGGAGGAACACCAAUGGCGAAGGCAGCUCGCUGGGACGUGACUGACGCUGAGACGCGAAAGCGUGGGGAGCAAACAGG